CAGUUCCCGAUCUUGCCGGAGCCAGCGAAACGGUCGUUUUCCUUCUUCCGGCACCAACAGGUACGUUUCUAAGAGCUCCACCGGCAGUCCAGUAACGAUGGCAGCCUCGGCAGAAGUGGCGUGGUUGGUUGACGUUGUAGUUGUUAAAAUAGCAGAACUUGGUCUCUCUACUCUUGCAUCUUGGACACGGCAAGCCAGACGCCGAGGUGUGGUGUGGUUGGAUCUUCUCCGGUGAGUUUUCGUUUUCGUUUUCGUUUUUGUUUGUGGAUGGUUGUUCUGCCUCUGCUAAAAUUCUUUUGCCAAACAGCUUGAAUCCCGGAGCAGUUGUAGGCGUGGUGGGUGUUUGCGGAUGUUGUUCUCUCCUUGCUUGUUCCACAUGUGAAUCUACCAUUGGUUUGGGACUUGGAAGUUUGGAAGGUAGCAAGCAACUAAAGAACGUAGUGAUUAGGAA
This 451-nucleotide long non-coding RNA is filed under the name Zostera marina. Its description in RNAcentral is "long non-coding RNA (ZMAR_LNC005630)". The record is from RNAcentral. Lineage: Eukaryota; Viridiplantae; Streptophyta; Magnoliopsida; Alismatales; Zosteraceae.